GUCUCGAUUUCCCUCUCUCUAAAUUUGUAACUUUUUAUUAUUUCAUUAAUAAUAAUAAAGCCCUGCUUUGUUUUAUGUGUUUUAACUCCGAUCACCACUACCCUUUCCGAUUGAUCUGAAACCCCUAACUCAUGUCAGGGCUCUGCCCGACUAAGUUCGUUGGGAUUCUGUCUCGGGACAUUGGGAUAAGGUUGAAUUAGGGGUACUAUACUUAACACGAGUGCAUUAUAUAUUUUUAGUAGCCCAAAAGUUAUACCCAAAAUUUAUAACAGGAGAUUUUCUAGUUGAACCCUAAAGUUACAAAGUAGGGUGCAUUCUCUUUUCUCACCGUUUUAUUUCCUUUUUGUGAUUUACCCAAAAGUAUUAUUUAUUAUUCUAUUUUUGUAAACAACUCUCAUCAAAAGUCAUAUCUAUUAUUUUAUUCACCCAAUUGGAAACCCUAGUUGAGACACCAAAGUAAUCCUGCACCACUCCAAAAAUUUUCAGAAUCCUCAGAAUCAUCAGGAUCAGGAUCAGGGCCCUAAAACUCAGGGGGGUAUUCCCCACUUGACGAUUAUCUUCAUAUCUUGCUGUCUAAUUCGCAAUUUAACAUUCCGUCGACUCACACAAGCUACUGAGACACGUGGCAAUCCUAUGCUAAAACUGCCCUCCUCGCGCCACGGAACAGGGCCUCUCGCCACGUGCGCGCGUAUAUAGAGGGGUGUGGGACUUGAUUUCUGGCAUUGGAGCUAUGUUGAAAUUCGUUAUACACUCCGAGAUAUUCUUUGAUUACUACCAAACACACACUAGCUCGAAUUCUACUACGAUAUCGGGUAUUAACUCGAUCGCUGUUACGAUUCAAUGUCCGAUCACUGAAACUAUCCGACCGGAUGUUUAAGCGCUAUCCUUUGUCAUUAGUCGUGAUUCCGACAGGAUGUUUGAGUGCCACCCGAACUCGGGGAAUACUCUGUCAUUCGUUGUGAAUCCGAUGGAUGUUUAAGUGAUUGCACUUUGUCAUUCGUUGUGAGGGUUUUAAUCUCGUGAGUUAUUGUAAUUGCUGUAUUAAGUUACCUACCUAGUUAGUGUGCACUAGGUUACAAGAAUAGAUAAUAGGCUAAGCUCUGCCUAUAUAAAUCUGCAAUAUCACGGCUAAUCAAUAGGCUAAACUUUGCCUCUAUGAAUCUGCAUGCUUAUAAUGUGAGUCAUUCUCUUUUUAUCAACUGUUUUACAAAACUUCAAGUUAUUUUCAAAGUUAUAUUUACAGGGAUUAAGUCUUCGUAAUCACCAAGUUACAGCCGGUAUGUGGGGUUUUGUAUACAUUACUUGAUAAUCUUCACCAUUGGGGCAGCCAUGGGGUGAUAUAACCAUAGUCACAGACACCAUUGGACAAUGAGAGGGCCAAUGGGUCGAGUGACAAAAUACCAUGGGUAGUUGGUUUGAUAUCAGAAACAUUGUAAUCGCUCUUAAUACUGUGAAUUAUAACAAAUCUGUUUUGUAUAAAACCUGAAUGAAACUCACUCAGUAUUUCCCCGCUAACAAAAUCUUUUUAAAACGCGUUUCAGGUAAUUACAAUAGAUUGGAGUAAGGAUUGGAUCCUGCACUGAAGGACUUCAAGAAGUGGCUUAUUUUAUUAAUUAAAUCAAAUUAAAGAAUAUUGUUUUUAUUAAAAGCUACCUUUGUAAAAAUGGAAUUUAUUUCAUCUAUUUAAAUAAAAUCUGGUGUUUCUAAACUCUGAUAUUUUAUCCUAACUCACGGUUCUGACCGCUCGCGGCUCCGGAUUCCCACCAGGGUGGGGUCGGGGGUCGUGACACAAAAACAAACCCUACUGCUCCAUAAUUUACGAUCGGCGAUUGAAGAAACCACCCCCCUGUUCAUCAAGGCUUUAAGUGGUUAGUAAAUUCAUGGAUGAAUGUUAGUUAUGUUCGUAUAUUCAUGCAUGCUAUAUGUUGUGUAUGUAAUAUAGGUUCUGCACAUGAUUGCUUGAUUUGUAGGAUUAGAGGGAUUAGAUUAUUGAACAAGUUGUAUGGUUAAAAAUAAAUAAAUAAAUAUAUGAUAUCAUCGAACUGGAUGUUGAGGUGAAAUUGCAUGAUUUAAUUUUAUGUUGAUCACAUUAUGUAUGCAUAAGUAAAUGGUAGCCAUGUGACUGUGAUUUUGAUCUCCUUAAUUCAUGUGCAUAUUUUGAUAAGAUUGUCCAUGAUAGCCAAAGGCAUUAAAUAACUAGUGAUGAUGAUAAUGACUAGUUAUAGGAAGUCAUGUUGGUUGGUUUGUUAUGAACAAGAAUCACAUGACUCCUAUAUGAGCAGAUUAUGUAGUGGCUAUGCUAGGGUAACAUGAUGUUUAGGUUAUGUAUGAUUAAUGAGAACCGAUGAAGUUGAGCUUUCAAUUAAUAUUGUUAUAUAGUGAUUGCUCACUAAACAAAAAUCAUAAUAGGUGAGGGUUAAGGGUCCACGAGGGAAUGGGCUAGAGGUUUGGGUUUGGAUUUAUUGUUGUGGGCCAAUGGGUAUGUUUGGCUAAACAUAAUAGGUGGGUUAUAAGGUUCAUCAGGUUCGCAUGUUAAUUAUUACUGGUUGGGCCAAAUUUAGUUUAAGUAAUAAUGGACUACCUUGUUUAAAACAUAUGUUGGUUUGGACUGAAUGGUAAGGGUGGACUGGUAACUUUGGUUGGGUCGAAGCCUAGUGGAUUAUUAUAAUUUGAAGUGUUACGAUCUAGUGUAAAACAUUUAGUUAUGUUAUAAUUGAGUUGGGAUUCGACAAGCCACUUAUGUGCAUGUAUGCUUUUGGGCCGAACAUUUGUUGGGCCGCAUCUCUCGGAUAGAGAGGUUGGGGCGUAAGAGUAUGUGUAUUAAUAGUGUGUGUAUGGUUACAUAGUGUGAUUAAUUGAUGAACGAUAGAUAAACCUAGGGUACCAUGUACAUGUUUCAUUAUGACUUCUAGUGUGACAACGUGAUCAACAUGGAUACAAACUGAUUAUAUGAACCUUUUAGGCUUUGAAUAAUUGAGAGUGGUCAAGUAACUAGUCUUACCGAGCAAAUCUAAGGUGAGUUCACUGCUCUUUUUCCAAGCAUGCAUCCCGGAGAGUGAUAUCGGGUAACGUUCCGGGGAGGAAUGCUAGUUUAUUGGGAUGAUUGUUAUUAUUACUCAGUUUCUAUCACUUAAGACCCCUUACAUCUACCGACAGUUGUCGGGGAGGCAACGAGGUUAUUAGUUGAUAGCGCUAUUAGGAUUGGCACCCUCACACCGUACCGGGGAGGAUGGGUGUGAACUAAUUUCCUUAAAGCAUGACCAAUGUUUUGAUAGAGACAUUGGGGUUGGGGAAACACAUCUUGUAGCCAUUUCGGUAAUCGAGUUAAUAACAACACCAAAUCAAAUUGUUAAAUUGUUUUACACCUGUAUCUGGUAACUAAACUCGGUAACAAAACCUUGAACUCACCAGCUUUGUAUGAGACACUUUUUUGCAUGCUUCUGGAGAGGUCAUGGGUCGACUGGGGGAAUUAAUGCUAUUGAUUUCUUGAUAUUAUAUAUUGGUUUUUAAACUAUUUAACUUCGUUUAACUUUGCUUUCGCUGAAUACUUUGGUUUUCUUUUGACCUUGGAUGGUGUUUUAUUAAUAAUCAAGAACUUUAUU
RNAcentral lists this long non-coding RNA (3602 nucleotides) under Helianthus annuus (common sunflower). RNAcentral describes it as "hypothetical non coding rna". Lineage: Eukaryota; Viridiplantae; Streptophyta; Magnoliopsida; Asterales; Asteraceae. The record is from RNAcentral.